GACGAGCCUCACAAACGUUAUUCGGAAUUACUGGGCUUAAAGGGUGCGUAGGCGGCGCGGAAAGUUGGGUGUGAAAUCCCUCAGCUUAACUGAGGAAGGGCGCCCAAAACUACCGUGCUCGAGGGAGAUAGAGGAGUGCGGAACUUAGGGUGGAGCGGUGAAAUGCGUUGAUAUCCUAGGGAACACCGGUGGCGAAAGCGGCACUCUGGAUCUCUUCUGACGCUGAGGCACGAAAGCUAGGGUAGCAAACGGG
This 253-nucleotide ribosomal RNA is filed under the name uncultured bacterium. RNAcentral's name for it is "partial 16S ribosomal RNA". It matches the Rfam family "Bacterial small subunit ribosomal RNA", at positions 524 to 776 of the family's 1533-position model. The record is from RNAcentral.